This 71-nucleotide transfer RNA is filed under the name Ovis aries (sheep). It matches the Rfam family "tRNA". Rfam says of the family: Transfer RNA (tRNA) molecules are approximately 80 nucleotides in length. Their secondary structure includes four short double-helical elements and three loops (D, anti-codon, and T loops). The record is from Rfam by way of RNAcentral. Lineage: Eukaryota; Metazoa; Chordata; Mammalia; Artiodactyla; Bovidae.
UCUCUGGUGAUCCAAUGGUUAAGAAUCUGCCUGACAUGCAGGAGACACAGGUUCGAUCCCUGGUCUGGGAA